RNAcentral lists this transfer RNA (76 nucleotides) under Chlamydiota bacterium. RNAcentral's name for it is "Chlamydiae bacterium tRNA-Phe". It matches the Rfam family "tRNA". From Rfam's summary of the family: Transfer RNA (tRNA) molecules are approximately 80 nucleotides in length. Their secondary structure includes four short double-helical elements and three loops (D, anti-codon, and T loops). Further hydrogen bonds mediate the characteristic L-shaped molecular structure. tRNAs have two regions of fundamental functional importance: the anti-codon, which is responsible for specific mRNA codon recognition, and the 3' end, to which the tRNAs corresponding amino acid is attached (by aminoacyl-tRNA synthetases). tRNAs cope with the degeneracy of the genetic code in two manners: having more than one tRNA (with a specific anti-codon) for a particular amino acid; and 'wobble' base-pairing, i.e. permitting non-standard base-pairing at the 3rd anti-codon position. The record is from RNAcentral. Lineage: Bacteria; Pseudomonadati; Chlamydiota.
UGGGAGAUAGCUCAGUGGUAGAGCGGCUGGUUGAAGCCCAGCGCGAUCCGUGGUUCGAUCCCACGUCUCCCAACCA